This 253-nucleotide ribosomal RNA is filed under the name uncultured bacterium. RNAcentral describes it as "partial 16S ribosomal RNA". It matches the Rfam family "Bacterial small subunit ribosomal RNA", at positions 524 to 776 of the family's 1533-position model. The record is from RNAcentral.
UACAGAGACUGCAAGCGUUAUUCGGAUUCACUGGGCGUAAAGGGUGCGCAGGCGGCCAAGUGUGUCAGGUGUGAAAUCCCGGGGCUUAACUCCGGAACUGCGCCUGAAACUACUUGGCUAGAGCAUUGGAGAGGGAAGUGGAAUUCACGGUGUAGCAGUGAAAUGCGUAGAUAUCAGGAGGAACACCGGUGGCGAAGGCGGCUUUCUGGACAGAUACCGACGCUGAGGCACGAAAGCUAGGGGAGCAAACAGG